Molecule: long non-coding RNA, 4059 nt
Filed under: Triticum aestivum (bread wheat)
Lineage: Eukaryota; Viridiplantae; Streptophyta; Magnoliopsida; Poales; Poaceae
Description: long non-coding RNA (TAES_LNC016017)
Source: RNAcentral
GUUAUUUCCCCUCGCAUAUAAAUACCGCACCACCACCUCUCCCUCAUCCACUUCUUCUCCCCCUUGCCUUCGUUGUCUCCGAAGCUGUGACGCCCCUGAUUCAAUCAUACACUAAUCAUACACGCAAAUGUGUACGAUCAAGAUCAGGGACUCACGGGAAGAUAUCACAACACAACUCUAGACACAAAUUAAAAUAAUACAAGCUUUAUAUUACAAGCCAGCGGCCUCGAGGGCUCGAAUACUUAAGCUCGAAAACACAAGAGUCAGUGGAAGCAAAAAUAUCUGAGUACAGACAUGAGUUAGACAAGUUUGCCUUAAGAAGGCUAGCACAAAAGCAUCAUCGAUCGAAAAGGCAAGGCCUCCUACCUGGGAGCCUCCUAACUACUCCUAGUCAUUGGCGGUCUCCACGUAGUAGUAGGCACCCUCAGUGUAGUAGCAGUCAUCGUUGAAGGUGGCGUCUGGAUCCUGGGCUCCACCAUCUGGUUGCAUCCACCAGAAAGAAGAAAGAAGGGGGAAAAGGGGUAGCAAAGCAACCAUGAGUACUCAUCCAAAGUACUCGCAAGCAAGGAACUACACUACAUAUGCAUCGGUAUCAUUGAAAUGGGCUGUAUAUGUGAACUGAACUGCAGAAUGCCAGAAGAGAAGGGGAAAGCCUAGCCUAUCGAAGACUAGCAUCUUCAAGCAGCUCCAAGCAUCUUGCAGCAUCAGAAGAGAUAAGAAUAACAUAAAGUAAAGUAGUAGUAGUGUUAUCAACCUCAGCCAGAGAUCCUUUCUCGACUCCCUGUGAGAAAGCAAUCCCAGAGCCAUGCUAUCCAGUUCCCAUCUCCAUUUCUCAUAUCCAUUUCUCAUCUCAGGUAUCCGUUCUAGUUGUAUCGAUCGGGAUACAACUCCAAGUGUCCGUUACCGUACGACAGGCUAUCCAUAGAUGUUUUCCUCCCUGCAGGGGUGCACCAACUUACCCACCACGCUCGAUUAACUCCGGCCGGACACACUUUCCUGGGUCAUGCCUGGCCUCGGCCAAACAAUACGACGCAACCCGACCUAGGCUUAAUAGAGAGGUCAACACGCCGGACUAAACAUAUGCCCCCAGGGGUCAUGGGCCAUCACCCCGGGAACUCCUGCACGUUGCGUACGUGGCCUAUGAGCAGACCUAGCUACCUCCUUCAAAAACCCAGGUGCUUACGCAGUCCAACCCGGCGCGCGCCGCUCAGUCGCUUACGGCUAUUAAGCUUCGGUUGAUGUAUACGACGUAGAACGUCCAUACUAUGCCCUGCUAUCAGGCCAGAGGCCCCUCGGAUCAAAUAUCCAAAUCAUAGUGGAUUAGGAACACGCGGUAACAAGCAGAGACUCACGAAAGAUGUGACCCUGUUGCCCCGUCUCGAGGACUUGCGGCAAGGGCUAGGAAUGUCCGGCCACGUCUCGUAAUUAUCUCACGGGCACCCUCCAGGUCAACCCGUCUCCACAUCACUCGCGGGUACCCCUCAGGGUCGACCCGCCUUUCGAAGUAACAAUUGUAAAGUACAAGUAUCCGUGUGUCCAAACAUCAAGGGGAAAACUCGAGGAAUCACCCCCGGUGAACUCCACUCGAUGUAAUCAUCAAGGUGAACUUAAGAGGAUCCACCCUCGAGGUUCACACUUGAGGGGUUGCACGACAGAGACGUAUCGGAAGUGGUUAAGGCGGAAUCACCCUCGAUGACCUCGACCGAAUAGCUACACUACAGGGUUAACAUCAGAAGUGCUGAUGAGGUCUCACCCUCGACACUCAAUAGUAACCCAGUAGUGUCGAGCAACUAAGGGGAAAGUGAUGUGCGGUGCCGGGGCCUGGCCUUCAAUCCCGUUGAUCGGGUGUUCAAUGAUGAAGAAGGGGCAACAAGGACAAGGUGGGGGUCACUGAUGGAUCACUAACCAACCUAUACUAAGCAGUUUAGGAUAAGCAGGUAGGUAACAAUAAGUAGGUUACAAAAGCAGGCUAUGCAUCAGAAUAGGAGCAAACAAUUACAGUAGCAAAAUCUAAUGCAAGCAUGAGAGAAUGGAAUGGGCGAUAUCGGGAUGAUCAAAGGGGGGCUUGCCUGGAAGCUCUGCUGUAAAGGAAGAAGAUCCGUUGGUGACGUAGUCGGUCACAGGGGCAUCAGCAGCGGUCUCGGGGUCUAUCGGAGAAGGAGAGGGGGAAGAAACAGUAAAUAUAAGGCACACAGAUGCAUGACAUGACAACAAGUAGCACUAGGCGUCUUCUAACGUAGUACUACACGAUACCGGCGAAGGGGGACAACAUCCGGGAAUGUUUUCCCGAAGUUUGGCAUAUUCGGACAGACGAAACGGAGGGGAAAGGUUGCAUGUCUGCAAUGCUAUGGGCAUGUGACAGAUGAACGGACCGCGUAUUCGGAUAUGUCUCAUCGUUCUGAGCAACUUUCAUGUAUAAAUUAUUUUCAUUGGACUUACGGUUUAAUUUAUAUGAUUUUUCAAAGUUUUAUUAAUAUUCUAAAAUUGUUUUAACUAUUUAUUUUGAAUUUAAAUAAUGUUGACUCUUUUUAUACCCAGACUGGCCCAGCCACAGUCAAUGAUAUGUGGGGCCAGUCAAAGCCCAGUCAUCAGGUCAACAGUCAAAGUUGCCCUUGGUCAAAGUGUGAAUAGUGCUAGUGGGGCCUACUUGUCAUAAACACUGUGUCUAUUAAGUCAAUUAAUUAGAGAUAACCAACAGGGGUGGUCCACAUGUCAUUUGCUAUUAAAGUAAAUUAGCACUAAUUUAACACUACUUAAUCUAGUCCUAAUUAAACACGGGGCUGGCCGUACUAGACAAUGGCCCAGCCGGCCACACACGCAACACACACACACACACACCACAAAUUAAGCCAUGGCCAUCGCCAUGUUCAGUAGAAGCAACAGUCAACGGCAAUUCAGCAGCAGCUAGUACCAAUAGUAGUGAGGAGGAGAAGCAGCUCGCCAGCAGCAAGUAGCAGGAGCAGCGCAGCAGCAGUACGCAGUAAGCAGCACAAGCGGCACGCAGCGACAUGGGGCAGCAGCAACAACAGGGGAGCAGCGGCAGGGCAAGCGCGGGAGCAGUGGGCGGCGCGGGCGCACGCACGCGCGGCCGGACGCGGCCAGUGGACAGCUAACGUGCGGCUGGUCGCGGCCAAGGGCGCGACGAGGCGCGCACGGGGCGCUGUGGCGCGAGGCACGCCCAACAGUCGGAGCUUGGGAGGCGCGGGGGUGGCGACACACAUCGUCGGGGAGAGAGUAAGAUAGGGGGAACAGGUGGAGGCUCACCCCGAGGAGGCCAUGGACGUGCUCGCCGAGGCCGGGAUGCGCCGGUGGUGGAGAUUGACGGCGAGAUGCCGCGGCCGUGGCGGAAAAACUGGCUCGAUCCCGAGCGUACGGUGCCUCCUAGCUUAUUCAAUGGAGGUAGAAGAAGGAGUCGAUGACGGCAGAGCUCCUGGACAACCUCCUGAUCGCCGGGGAGGCCAGUGGUCGCGAGGACGGCGAUGGCGCGUCAACGACAGCUCGGGAGCGAGCGAAACCGAGAGGGAGGGGACGAGUGAGAGGAUAAGUGAGGGCUAGGGUUUGUCUACAGGGUCGGGGGCCUUCUUAUCCAUCUCGGGGGCUCGCCAGAUGCACGACACGGCAGCAGCAGCGGCCAGGGCGGCGUGGAUGUGCGCCACGCACAUGCCUUUGCCUUCUCCUUUGUACUGAGAUUGAAGGAGGCCUGUGGUGGGCUCUGUUGGAAAAGGCAGUGCCUAGGAGGCGCUUAGGCACGCCUAGGCGCUAGGCAAUGGCACGAGGGCUCGAAUACAUAAGCUCGAAAACACAAGAGUCAGCGGAAGCAACAAUCUCUGAGUACAGACAUGAGUUAGACAAGUUUGCCUUACGAAGGCUAGCACAAAAGCAUCAUCGCUCGAAAAGGCAAGGCCUCCUGCCUGGGAGCCUCCUAACUACUCCUAGUCAUUGGCGGUCUCCACGUAGUAGUAGGCACCAUCAGUGUAGUAGCAGUCGUCGUUGAAGGUGGCGUCUGGAUCCUGGGCUCCACCAUCUGGUUGCAUCCACCAGAAAGAAGAAAGAAGGGGG